ACAACGGAGAGUUUGAUCCUGGCUCAGGACGAACGCUGGCGGCGUGCUUAACACAUGCAAGUCAGGGAGAAAGGAGUAGCAAUACUCUGAGUAAACCGGCGAACGGGUGAGUAAUGCGUAGGCAACUUACCUUGUGAACGGGGAUAACCCCUCGAAAGCGGGGCUAAUACCCGAUGAAAUUCUGUUACAGCAUUGUAGUAGAAUGAAAGAUCCCAAAAGGAUGUCACAAGAUGGGCCUGCGUCCCAUUAGAUAGUUGGCGGGGUAAUGGCCCACCAAGUCGACGAUGGGUAGCUGGUCUGAGAGGACGAUCAGCCACACUGGAACUGAGACACGGUCCAGACUUCUACGGAAGGCAGCAGUGAGGAAUAUUGCUCAAUGGGCGAAAGCCUGAAGCAGCGACGCCGCGUGAGGGAUGAAAUCCGUUAGGAUGUAAACCUCUUUUGCAGGGGAUGAAUGUCCCGUUUUACGGGAUUGACCGUACUCUGCGAAUAAGCACCGGCCAACUACGUGCCAGCAGCCGCGGUAAUACGUAGGGUGCAAGCGUUGUCCGGAAUUACUGGGUGUAAAGGGUCCGCAGGCGGGUAAGCAAGUCGGUGGUGAAAUCCUGCAGCUCAACUGCAGAACUGCCUCCGAUACUGUUUAUCUUGAGUACGAGAGAGGAUGAUGGAAUUCAUGGUGUAGCGGUGAAAUGCGUAGAGAUCAUGAAGAACACCGGUUGCGAAGGCGAUCAUCUGGCUCGUUACUGACGCUCAGGGACGAAAGCGUGGGGAGCAAACAGGAUUAGAUACCCUGGUAGUCCACGCCUUAAACGAUGGAUGUUCGGUGUCGGUCCCGUUCAGCAUAUAUUAAUAUGUGUUGAACGGGAUCGGUGCCUGAGCUAACGCGUUAAACAUCCCACCUGGGGAGUACGAUCGCAAGGUUGAAACUCAAAGGAAUUGACGGGGGCCCGCACAAGCAGUGGAGCAUGUGGUUCAAUUCGAUGCAACGCGAAGAACCUUACCUGGGUUUGAAAGGCUCUGUAAACCGGUGAAAGCCGGCUAGUGUAGCAAUACACGCGGAGUACAGGUGCUGCAUGGCUGUCGUCAGCUCGUGCCGUGAGGUGUUAGGUUAAGUCCUGCAACGAGCGCAACCCCUGCACUUAGUUGCCAUCAGGUAAUGCUGGGCACUCUAAGUGGACUGCCUACGCAAGUAGUGAGGAAGGUGGGGAUGACGUCAAGUCCUCAUGGCCCUUACACCCAGGGCCACACACGUGCUACAAUGGAUGGUACAAAGGGUUGCCAAGCCGCAAGGUGGAGCCAAUCCCAAAAAACCAUCCUCAGUUCGGAUUGGGGUCUGCAACUCGACCCCAUGAAGCUGGAAUUGCUAGUAAUCGCGUAUCAGCACGACGCGGUGAAUACGUUCCCGGGCCUUGUACACACCGCCCGUCAAGCCAUGGAAACUGGGGGUACCCGAAAACGCUGCGCUAACCGCAAGGAAGUAGGCGUCUAAGGUAAAACCAGCGACUGGGGCUAAGUCGUAACAAGGUAGCCGUACCGGAAGGUGCGGCUGGAUCACCUCCUUUCUAAGGAGCU
This 1572-nucleotide ribosomal RNA is filed under the name Chlorobiaceae bacterium. Its description in RNAcentral is "bacterial SSU rRNA". It matches the Rfam family "Bacterial small subunit ribosomal RNA". Lineage: Bacteria; Pseudomonadati; Chlorobiota; Chlorobiia; Chlorobiales; Chlorobiaceae. The record is from RNAcentral.